This 496-nucleotide ribosomal RNA is filed under the name uncultured bacterium. Its description in RNAcentral is "partial 16S ribosomal RNA". It matches the Rfam family "Bacterial small subunit ribosomal RNA", at positions 28 to 507 of the family's 1533-position model. The record is from RNAcentral.
GACGAACGCUGGCGGCGUGCCUAAUACAUGCAAGUCGAGCGCACAGGUGUGGUGCUUGUUCCAACGGGAUGAGCAGCGGACGGGUGAGUAACGCGUGGGGAAUCUGCCUUUGAGCGGGGGACAACAUCUGGAAACGGGUGCUAAUACCGCAUAAAAUCUUUAAACACAAGGUUUAAUAGUGAAAGAUGCAAUUGCUUCACUCAAUGGUGAUCCCGCGUUGUAUUAGUUAGUUGGUAAGGUAAAGGCUCACCAAGGCAACGAUACGUAGCCAAACGGAGAGGGUGAUCGGCCACACGGGAACUGGAACACGCUCCAGACUCCUACGGGAGGCAGCAGUGGGGAUUCUUGCGCAAUGAGCGAAGUCCGGACGAGGCAACGCCGCGGGAGUAAGGAGGGUCUUCGAUUGGUAAAACUCGUUUAUUGGGGAGGAACAAGUGUGGAGUGGACAACGCACGUCGUGACGGUACCUAACCAGAAAGCCACGGCUAACUACGUG